This 270-nucleotide ribosomal RNA is filed under the name uncultured archaeon. RNAcentral's name for it is "partial 16S ribosomal RNA". It matches the Rfam family "Archaeal small subunit ribosomal RNA", at positions 477 to 747 of the family's 1478-position model. The record is from RNAcentral.
CAGCACCUCAAGUGGUCAGGAUGAUUAUUGGGCCUAAAGCAUCCGUAGCCGGCGCUGUAAGUUUUCGGUUAAAUCUGUAUGCUCAACAUACAGGCUGCCGGGAAUACUGCAAAGCUAGGGAGUGGGAGAGGUAGACGGUACUCGGUAGGAAGGGGUAAAAUCCUUUGAUCUAUUGAUGACCACCUGUGGCGAAGGCGGUCUACCAGAACACGUCCGACGGUGAGGGAUGAAAGCUGGGGGAGCAAACCGGAUUAGAGACCCGAGUAGUCC